CAGUCGCCGCGGGAAUACGAAGGGUGCAAGCGUUACUCGGAAUUACUGGGCGUAAAGCGUGCGUAGGUGGUGGUUUAAGUCCGUUGUGAAAGCCCUGGGCUCAACCUGGGAAUUGCAGUGGAUACUGGGUCACUAGAGUGUGGUAGAGGAUAGUGGAAUUUCCGGAGUAGCAGUGAAAUGCGUAGAGAUCGGAAGGAACAUCUGUGGCGAAGGCGACUAUCUGGGCCAACACUGACACUGAGGCACGAAAGCGUGGGGAGCAAACAGGAUUAGAUACCCCAGUAGUCCCUGUCUCUUAUAC
This 301-nucleotide ribosomal RNA is filed under the name uncultured bacterium. RNAcentral's name for it is "partial 16S ribosomal RNA". It matches the Rfam family "Bacterial small subunit ribosomal RNA", at positions 509 to 807 of the family's 1533-position model. The record is from RNAcentral.